CCUGAGCUGAGCUGCAAGCUCUGAAGCUCUAGUGUGGGGCUAGGAGUGCAGACUUUGGAGCCAGGCUGACAAGGUUUGAAUCCCAACUUCCCAGCUGUGCGACCUUGGAUAGAGUCACUAAUCUCCUAGUCUCCUAGUCACCUUCUCUGUAAGAUGAGUAACAGCAGCAUCUGCCUCAUAGAGUCUGCCUGUCACCUGGUUAUAUCUAUUCCAGUUACGCAUUCUGGGACUGGGGACACAACCACACUUGGCCAAGUGUGAGGCAGACCUGACCUAAAUGAGUCAUCUGACCUCUAGGAGCCCCUACUCUGCCACGUGGAUCACAGAGACAUUUGGGGUCUCCAGGAAUUAGUGAUAGAACAGAGCCAGAAGAGUCAGAGGUCCCUCUGGGGAAGGUGGGAGAAGGAUUUCCAGUAGAAGUUUUUUCAAGGAGGGCAGUUCCCCCCUAGAGGGGAAACCCCGUCUGUCUCCCCAGAUGUCUGGUUGGUAAACUGGACCAAGUUUAGGAACUGACGGAGAGGCUGUGUCUCUAUUUGGAUGGUUCAAGUUGGACUCUGUUUAUUUUCCCGGGGACUCACUGAAUUGCUUAGUGCCUUGCUUUUGCUGAGGCUGGCUCUGAACUUGCCAUCCUCCUGCCUCACCUCCUGAGCCUCUAGAUUUCAGGUGUGCACCAUCAUGCCCAGUGACUGUGUUCAUUUGACUUAAGAUCCUUCCAUUUCCUCUUACGCGCAGAUCAAAUAGGAAUCUAGCAAGCUGCAGAGGAUUUCUUCUCUAGGGACACUAUCAUCAACCAGCCAGUAUUAGACUCUCGGCAUUUAAACAGGAUUUUAGUAGGUUGAGAUGUGUGUGUGUGUGUGUGUGUGUGUGUGUGUGUUUGUGAGAGAGAGAGAGAGAGAGAGCGCAAGCUCAGAUAGGCUUGGGUCAUGAUCCUUCCUCUGGACGCCCCAGUGCCUCUCCACGGGUGUGCACUCAGGAAAUCGGGGAUCUGCUGGACCCCUGCUCUCAGUGUGGUUGGAGUCCCCUCUAGAUAUACAUGGUCACUCUGGUUUGGACACGACUGGGACCUGGGGCACCCAACAUGGCCUCUCCACAUGGAAACAAGAGCACUUCUGGGAAAGAAUUUUACCGGAAGGUAAAAGAGAGGCCAAACAUGCAAGGCUGCUUUGAGGCCCUGGACGCCGGCCAGAAGGGAGCUUUGAGGUUAAUGAGCACAGAGCGGAGCGGCCUGGGUCACCCUGGACUAUCUCCACAAGCCUUAGUAAUCUGUUGCUAAGUACUAAAUGUUGUUUUUAUUAAGUUUAUAAGGACUUCUAGGCACGUGGAGUUGAGUAGAUGUAACUUUUGGGGUUUAGCAAAUGGUCUUUGGGAGUUUUUGCAAGACUUCUUCCUUCCUUCCUUCCCUUCUUUCUUGGUACUGAGGAUUGUUCUCAGGGGCGCUCUAUCAAUAAACUACAUCCCCAGCCCGUUUCAUUUUUUACCUUGAAACAGGGUCUCUCUAAAUUGCUGAGGCUGACCUCCAACUUGUGAUCCUCCUGCCUCAGCCUCCCUGGUCUCUGUGAUCACAGUUGUGCACCACCGCGCCAAGAGAGUGUUGUCCCUUCUAAUCUGUGAUGGGUGUGAAGCUGUAUCUCGCUGUUUUAUCACUGUGAGCCUCGUGGCUGGCUUUCCUGCCGCAUCAUAAGUCGGUGAGGCAGCAGCCCUGCAUGGAAGACCCAGGGCCCCGGGUCUGCCUCGUUUCAAACUUCUCUUCCACCUCCCAGUGGCUGGCCGGGUCCUGAGCUCAGGCUUGACUCCUGGGGAAGGAAUCUCCACCACAAGCAAACACAGCCAGAGUGGCUCAGCUAGACUCAGAAGGAAGCCGCUGGCCAAGAGGAGAGUCCCAGGGGCCUCCCAGGAGCAGCUGGAGGGAAUGAGAAGAGGUGGCCAUUCCCACAGAACCCUUUGGCUGCAGAGACUGGCGUCUGUGCUCAUCCCAAAGCCCCGACUCUACAGAGGUCAGGGAGCCCGGCAGGACUGUCAAGGGCUGGACUGUCAAGGAGCACGUGGCAGCUGCUGUCAGAGAGUCAGACUAAACAGGCCUUCCUUGGGUAUAUUAUUAUUAUUAUUAUUAUUAUUAUUACUUUUUUAACUGGGGACAAGGCAGAAGCCACAUCCCCUGGAACUAUUCUAAACAAAGGUCUCCUCGUGGGCUGCAGUAGAACCGGCUUCCAGGUCAAGGCUUUUCUGUUGGAAGUUUCAGUUUCUGCAUCUGUGAAGUGGGGUCUGUAACAGUGCCUCCCUCACAGAACCUGAACUCAUCUGUGGAAAUGCUUAGGAUGCCACCCAGCAUGCGGGAACUCUAGACAGGAGCAGCCCUGGCCGGCGCUGAGGAAGUGGGCAGCAGUGCGAGGCCUCUGGCCCACACCAGCAGGAACCGAGACUCUCAGUCGGACAGCAGCAGGGAGCCUGUGAGCCGAGGGGGAUCCUCCCUGUUGAGCCUCAGAGGAGCCUGCCCCGGGCAGGUGGAUCACUGCCCAGUGAGGCCUUAAAGCAGAGCUCCCACUCCGCUGUGUGAACACCUUUCCUGGCCCACAGAAACUGUGAGGUAAUAAAUGUAUGUUGUUUUAAGCCA
This is a long non-coding RNA of Marmota monax (woodchuck), 2611 nucleotides long. RefSeq lists it as uncharacterized. The record is from RefSeq and is a predicted model, not a curated record. Lineage: Eukaryota; Metazoa; Chordata; Mammalia; Rodentia; Sciuridae. The transcript has 2 exons.